Molecule: non-coding RNA, 30 nt
Filed under: Mus musculus (house mouse)
Lineage: Eukaryota; Metazoa; Chordata; Mammalia; Rodentia; Muridae
Source: RNAcentral
UAGUAAUGCAAUGCUGUAAAUAUGAAAUUG